This 205-nucleotide long non-coding RNA is filed under the name Helianthus annuus (common sunflower). RNAcentral describes it as "sRNA HanXRQr2_Chr10g0461511". Lineage: Eukaryota; Viridiplantae; Streptophyta; Magnoliopsida; Asterales; Asteraceae. The record is from RNAcentral.
AUGCUUUUGCAUAGAUAUGACUUCCAAUUUUCACCAAAACUCAUUUUGCUCCAAACCUGUUUUGACCUUAACCAAAUUGUAGUUCUUUUUCCAAAUGUUCCGUUUUAACCCGAACUCAGUUCGCUCCUAACCGAUUAUCCUUUCGAGUGACAGUCAUUUUUUAUGUAAACAUAGUUACCAAAAGAAUUUAAAAAAAUUUAUUAAC